CGACCUGAGCUCAGGCAAGAUUACCCGCUGAACUUAAGCAUAUCAAAG
RNAcentral lists this ribosomal RNA (48 nucleotides) under Dictyococcus varians. RNAcentral's name for it is "partial 28S ribosomal RNA". The record is from RNAcentral. Lineage: Eukaryota; Viridiplantae; Chlorophyta; Chlorophyceae; Sphaeropleales; Dictyococcaceae.